UGAGCUAUGGUGUAAUGGCAGCACAACAGGUUUUGGUUCUGUUUGUCUUGGUUCGAAUCCGAGUAGCUCAA
Molecule: transfer RNA, 71 nt
Filed under: Prevotellaceae bacterium
Lineage: Bacteria; Pseudomonadati; Bacteroidota; Bacteroidia; Bacteroidales; Prevotellaceae
Description: tRNA-Gln
Rfam family: tRNA
About the family: Transfer RNA (tRNA) molecules are approximately 80 nucleotides in length. Their secondary structure includes four short double-helical elements and three loops (D, anti-codon, and T loops).
Source: RNAcentral